GUGGUUGGCCAGACAGUCGCUGCCAGUUGGUUUUCCAACUGGUGGAGGAAAGUCCGGACUUUAUAGAGCAAAGUGCCAGGUAACGCCUGGGGGGCGAAAGCCUACGGAAAGUGCAGCAGAAAAUAAACCGCCUGAUUUGAUUUCGGCCAUAUUGGUUUAGAUCAUAUCCGGUAAGGGUGAAAUGGUGCGGUAAGAGCGCACCGCGUCAAUGGUAACAUCUGACGGCAAGGUAAACCCCACUUGAAGCAAGACCAAAUAGGCUCUCAAGAUGACUCAGGUUAUCAACGUGUUGCUCGUACGGAGAGCGGGUAGGUCGCAUGAGCGUAAUGGUGACAUUGCGCCAAGAUGAAUGACUGUCCACGACAGAAUCCGGCUUAUCGGCUAACCACCUAA
RNAcentral lists this RNase P RNA (393 nucleotides) under Gammaproteobacteria bacterium. Its description in RNAcentral is "RNase P RNA component class A". It matches the Rfam family "Bacterial RNase P class A". From Rfam's summary of the family: Ribonuclease P (RNase P) is a ubiquitous endoribonuclease, found in archaea, bacteria and eukarya as well as chloroplasts and mitochondria. Its best characterised activity is the generation of mature 5'-ends of tRNAs by cleaving the 5'-leader elements of precursor-tRNAs. Cellular RNase Ps are ribonucleoproteins. Lineage: Bacteria; Pseudomonadati; Pseudomonadota; Gammaproteobacteria. The record is from RNAcentral.